Molecule: ribosomal RNA, 491 nt
Filed under: uncultured bacterium
Lineage: Bacteria
Description: partial 16S ribosomal RNA
Rfam family: Bacterial small subunit ribosomal RNA
Source: RNAcentral
AGUGAACGCUGGCGGUAGGCCUAACAUAUGCAAGUCGAACGGCAGCACAGUAAGAGCUUGCUCUUACGGGUGGCGAGUGGCGGACGGGUGAGGAAUACAUCGGAAUCUACUUUUUCGUGGGGGAUAACGUAGGGAAACUUACGCUAAUACCGCAUACGACCUACGGGUGAAAGCAGGGGGUCUUCGGACCUUGCGCGAUUGAAUGAGCCGAUGUCGGAUUAGCUAGUUGGCGGGUAAAGGCCCACCAAGGCGACGAUCCGUAGCUGGUCUGAGAGGAUGAUCAGCCACACUGGAACUGAGACACGGUCCAGACUCCUACGGGAGGCAGCAGUGGGGAAUAUUGGACAAUGGGCGCAAGCCUGAUCCAGCCAUACCGCGUGGGUGAAGAAGGCCUUCGGGUUGUAAAGCCCUUUUGUUGGGAAAGAAAAGCAGCAGGUUAAUACCCCGCUGUUCUGACGGUACCCAAAGAAUAAGCACCGGCUAACUUCGUG